RNAcentral lists this ribosomal RNA (754 nucleotides) under uncultured bacterium. RNAcentral describes it as "bacterial SSU rRNA". It matches the Rfam family "Bacterial small subunit ribosomal RNA", at positions 56 to 807 of the family's 1533-position model. The record is from RNAcentral.
UGCAAGUCGAGCGAGAAGCUUAAGAUUGACACUUCGGUUGAUUUCUUGAGUGGAAAGCGGCGAAAGGGUGAGUAACGCGUAGUUAUCUGCCCCAGGGUCUGGAAUAGCCUCGGGAAACUGAGGGUAAUGCCAGAUAAUAUCUCCGGAUCAAAGGUGUGAUUCCGCCCUGGGAGGAGACUGCGUACUACUAGCUUGUUGGUGGGGUAAAGGCCUACCAAGGCUACGAUGGUUAGCGGGCGUGAGAGCGUGGCCCGUCACACUGGGACUGAGACACUGCCCAGACGCCUACGGGUGGCUGCAGUCGAGAAUCUUCGGCAAUGGACGAAAGUCUGACCGAGCGAUGCCGCGUGCGGGAUGAAGGCCCUCGGGUUGUAAACCGCUGUCAGUUGGGAGGAAGGCUCCGUGAAGAGCGGAGUUUGACCUAUCUUCAGAGGAAGUACGGGCUAAGUUCGUGCCAGCAGCCGCGGUAACACGAACCGUACGAACGUUAUUCGGAAUUAUUGGGCUUAAAGGGUGCGUAGGCGGCGUUGUAGGUGGGGUGUGAAAUCCCUCGGCUCAACCGAGGAAUUGCGCCCCAAACCACAGUGCUAGAGGGAGACAGAGGUAAGCGGAACUGAUGGUGGAGCGGUGAAAUGCGUUGAUAUCAUCAGGAACACCGGUGGCGAAAGCGGCUUACUGGGUCUCUUCUGACGCUGAGGCACGAAAGCCAGGGGAGCGAACGGGAUUAGAUACCCCGGUAGUCCUGGCUGUAAAC